GACGAACGCUGGCGGCGUGCCUAAUACAUGCAAGUCGAGCGAGCUGAAUUCACUGAUCUCUUCGGAGUGACGUGUUGGACGCUAGCGGCGGAUGGGUGAGUAACACGUGGGCAAUCUGCCCUAAAGACUGGGAUACCACUUGGAAACAGGUGCUAAUACCGGAUAACAAUGAUGGUUGCAUGACCAUUAUUUGAAAGGCGGCGCAAGCUGUCACUUUAGGAUGAGCCCGCGGUGCAUUAGCUAGUUGGUGAGGUAACGGCUCACCAAGGCCAUGAUGCGUAGCCGAGUUGAGAGACUGAUCGGGCCACAUUGGGACUGGAGACACGGCCCAGACUCCUACGGGAGGCAGCAGUGGGAAUAUUGCACAAUGGGGAAACCCUGAUGCAGCGACGCCGCGU
RNAcentral lists this ribosomal RNA (398 nucleotides) under uncultured bacterium. RNAcentral's name for it is "bacterial SSU rRNA". It matches the Rfam family "Bacterial small subunit ribosomal RNA", at positions 28 to 402 of the family's 1533-position model. The record is from RNAcentral.